CGGGAGUGAAAACACACAGCUUAACUGUGUGCUUGCUUUCGAUACGGGCAGACUUGAGGCAUGCAGGGGAGAACGGAAUUUCUGGUGUAGCGGUGAAAUGCGCAGAUAUCAGAAGGAACACCGGUGGCGAAGGCGGUUCUCUGGGCAUGUUCUGACGCUGAGGAGCGAAAGUGUGGGGAGCGAACAGGAUUAGAUACCCUGGUAGUCCACACCGUAAACGUUGGGCGCUAGGUGUGGGAUCCAUUCCACGGGUUCCGUGCCGCAGCUAACGCAUUAAGCGCCCCGCCUGGGGAGUACGGCCGCAAGGCUAAAACUCAAAGGAAUUGACGGGGGCCCGCACAAGCGGCGGAGCAUGCGGAUUAAUUCGAUGCAACGCGAAGAACCUUACCUGGGUUUGACAUAGGAAGAAAUCCUCCAGAGAUGGGGGGUCCGUCAAUUCC
RNAcentral lists this ribosomal RNA (440 nucleotides) under uncultured bacterium. RNAcentral describes it as "bacterial SSU rRNA". It matches the Rfam family "Bacterial small subunit ribosomal RNA", at positions 589 to 1025 of the family's 1533-position model. The record is from RNAcentral.